CUAAAUGUUAAAAUAUGGUAACGGAGACAUUUUCACUUAUUUAAUAUGUUAGGUUCCAGUUACUGAUCUUAUACACCAACUAAAUGUUAAAAUAUGGUAACGGAGACAUUUUCACUUAUUUAAUAUGUUAGGUUCCAGUUACUGAUCUUAUACACCAACUAAAUGUUAAAAUAUGGUAA
Limulus polyphemus (Atlantic horseshoe crab) is the source of this 179-nucleotide long non-coding RNA. RefSeq lists it as uncharacterized. The transcript has 2 exons. NCBI's taxonomy places the organism in Eukaryota, Metazoa, Arthropoda, Merostomata, Xiphosura, Limulidae. The record is from RefSeq and is a predicted model, not a curated record.